This 902-nucleotide ribosomal RNA is filed under the name uncultured bacterium. RNAcentral's name for it is "bacterial SSU rRNA". It matches the Rfam family "Bacterial small subunit ribosomal RNA", at positions 8 to 905 of the family's 1533-position model. The record is from RNAcentral.
AGAGUUUGAUCCUGGCUCAGGAUGAACGCUAGCGGCAGGCUUAACACAUGCAAGUCGAGGGGUAACAGGGUAGCAAUACCGCUGACGACCGGCGAACGGGUGAGUAACGCGUAUGCAACCUACCCAUAACUUGAGAAUAGCCCGGAGAAAUUUCGGAUUAAUGCUUAAUAAUAUUUUGGAGAGGCAUCUCUCUGAUCUUAAAGCUCAGGCGGUUAUGGAUGGGCAUGCGUGCCAUUAGUUUGUUGGUGAGGUAACGGCUCACCAAGUUGACUAUGAUGGCUAGGGGGUCUAAAAGGAUAAUCCCCCACACUGGUACUGAGACACGGACCAGACUCCUACGGGAGGCAGCAGUGAGGAAUAUUGGUCAAUGGAGGCAACUCUGAACCAGCCAUGCCGCGUGAAGGAUGAAGGCGCUAUGCGUUGUAAACUUCUUUUGUACGGGAAGAAACCUUUCUACGUGUAGGGAGCUGACGGUACCGUAAGAAUAAGCAUCGGCUAACUCCGUGCCAGCAGCCGCGGUAAUACGGAGGAUGCAAGCGUUAUCCGGAUUUAUUAGGUUUAAAGGGUGCGCAGGCGGAGAAGUAAGUCAGUGGUGAAAGCCUACAGCUUAACUGUAGAAAUGCCAUUGAUACUGCUUUUCUUGAGUAUAGUUGAAGUAGGCGGAAUGUGUAGUGUAGCGGUGAAAUGCAUAGAUAUUACACAGAACACCGAUUGCGAAGGCAGCUUACUAAACUAUUACUGACGCUCAUGCACGAAAGCGUGGGGGAGCGAACAGGAUUAGAUACCCUGGUAGUCCACGCCGUAAACGAUGAACACUAGUUGUGUGCGAUACACAGUACGCGACUGAGCGAAAGCAUUAAGUGUUCCACCUGGGGAGUACGUAGGCAACUAUGAAACUUAAA